This 26-nucleotide non-coding RNA is filed under the name Cricetulus griseus (Chinese hamster). Lineage: Eukaryota; Metazoa; Chordata; Mammalia; Rodentia; Cricetidae. The record is from RNAcentral.
AGGAGUUCUUUGUGGGUUGUUUUAGA